AAUAAUUUGCAGUUUUAUACCUAUUAAAUUACAAAAGUAUUUGGUAAUUCCCUAUGCUGAAGAAACUAAGUGAAGCACCAAGUGAGUUUUUGGUGCUGAUGCAAACUGGUAACCCAUUUCGUUCAAUUUCACGACUAUCCACUCCAUUCAAAUCAGUAUGUGUCAGGGUAAACUACAACACUUUGGAACAUAGCUCCCACUGUGAGAACUUAUCCUCUAGGAAUAAUUCCAAUCAAAGAUAUUCAAGGCUAGGGAUAUGCGGGAUACGGCCCAGGAAUCAGGACAGUCUCUAAAAUCACACGACCUCACACCACACACUGGGGGAACUCUGCCUUUCACUGCGGUCCACAGUGGCCAGCACACAGCCCCGGGGCCCGGGUCUGCCAACACCAACCUCCCCGCCAGCUUGACCGCAUCUGAGAAGGCAGUGUGAGGCUCUUCUCUGGGGACAGUGGCACCCUGGUUGAGUUGACAAGGCCAAGCCAAUAAAUAAAACACGGAAGGAGGGGGACUGAAGUUUCACUGCGAGUGGAGAGGCUUUAGCGCUUUAUCUCAGGUUUUUCACAUUCUGAUAAACUGUAACACACACAGAUGCAUAGCUGCAAGGCCUCCACAGCAGGGCAGCACUUAAAACUGUUACACCUAAAAGAGAAAACCUGGCCACAGCACUUGAAACAAUAAAGAGGAACUAAACUCAGCUCCCCUGUGAGAAACUUACACUCCAGCCUGCCACAGUACUGCUCCACCUCCCGUUCACACAACCUCCUUAAAAGCAGCUUUUUCACCGUAAACCUGAGACCUGAAGAUGAAGGAAAAGCCGAAGCGCCAAGAUCUACUUGGAACGGUCCCGCUCUCCGGCGUCUGCUCUGCCACCCAGUGUGCCCACCUCGGGACAGGGUGGCCUGGGGAAGCUCCCCCACACCGCACCGGAGCUCUAAAACCGGCCCAUCUUCUGCUUCUGGGGAACCCGCAACUUGGGGACGUCGAAGCUUAGUUACAAAGCAGGAGGGAGGGCGGUGUGGCUCCUCCGAGGGGAAGGUGAGCUCCUGGCGAUCUCAGCGAGGGCCCUGAAGUCCCAAGCCAAAGCCAGCCGCAGUGCGACCCUCGCGGCAAGUCCCGGCAAGGAUCUGCUCUGAGCCCCGAAGCCGGCGCAAGGAGUCACCUCAGCUCCCCAGCCACCCUUACGAAGUGCUCACCAGGUGGCCACAGCCCGGUGUGACCCGCCACGCCCGCGCCUGCUCCCCGCCCUCCCCGCUGCAGUUCCGGAAACACGGGGAGGCGGGUGGAUCCCACGCUGGCUCCCAGGCUGCUGCCCGGCAGGCUCGCCCCUCCCUCCCCUCCCGCGACGGUGGCGGUGACGCAUGCCGGUGGCCCCUUUCCCCUUCCUGCGUGUCUUCACGUUGCUGUCACCCUCUCCAAGUCCUCCCUGGCCGCCCCCAGCUCCUGCCACCGGGCCACGCUGCCUCACGCCCCUCGCUUCUCCACCGCAGGCACACGCUGUCCUCGCUGGACUCGGUCUUGUGAUGCGAGUCCCCUGCUAGUGCAGGCGCCGGGAAUCGAGGGUUCUGUCCCCGCUGGAUGUUCUUUCGGGUAUGCAACAAGCACUGGGAUGGGCGCGUAAACCCCGCGGACGGCGCUGCAUUUUACAGGCAAGACACCGAAGCACAGGGAGGUCAGUCACUCCCCACCCAGGCCACACAGCCCCUGAAUGACAAAGCCAAGAUGCCGACCCGAGCCUGAUUCCCUCCAGGCCUGGACUCAGCACCGUGUGCCCUGGCCACAUCCUCAGCAGCACCCAGACAAGCAUGCUCCCAACUCAGGCCGUACGGUGUACUCCUCGUCCCUGCUGGACUCGCACGCCGAUCCCUCCGGUCUGCUGAGUGCUGGCACACACAGCCCCUGAAACCAGUGAGUCCUCUCGCUUCCGGCUGAGCCCACUCGCUCCCCCUUCCUCCUGCGGGAUGACUGACGGCUCGCUCGGCGAGGCCUGGGGUGGAAGCUACUUUGGCAGAGCGUGGGCACCGAACACUGUGUGGCACCCAGGCCGGGAAUAAACAGCCCUUCUGGGCUCCUCCCCAGCCCCUUCUCUCCUGGCCCAGCAGACCCAGAGCCCAGAUGGCCCCACUGGACGGUGAAGCUGAGUCCACAGGCGCCCGGGCCAGGAGCAGCCUUUGAAGGAAAUGCGGCACGAGGCAGCUAAGGAGCAGGAGAUGAGCACCAGGCAGAGGUCACCAGCGCUGUGGACAGACGAGGCAGGCACUGUGAUGGGACAGGGUCUCGCCUGCCCAGCUGCCCUGCUGGGCUGGCCAAGCUCACUAGGAAGCUGGCCUACUCCGCUGUCUGAGGCCUGGAGGGCAGGGUGGCCGCCAAUCGCACGCUGUCCUGGAGGCGGAAACGUUCUGCACAUGAAGCCGCGCAGACCUGUGUGCCUCAGAGUGGUCAGUUUCACAGGAGGCGAAUUCCACUUCAAUUCCAAACAAAGACGUCAGAAGGGUUCUGAGCAGUGACGCGACUCGUGUCAUUUUGGAAAAUCACCCUGGCUACUGCAUAGAGAUGGAGGAGGACAGGCGAGGAACACAAAGCAGGGGCAAAGCAGACGGGAACAGGGACAGGGGUCAGAGUUGACAGCAGAGCCAAGAAGAUGCACCCGAAGGCCGGGGUGUGGCCUGGGAAUGGAGGAGUGAAUUUGCACCUAAGCAGCUGGGUAGAGUGGUCCAGUUUACUGAGAGGGGAAGGCAGGAAAAGGGUAGCGAAGGGCCCACAGCUCAAACUCGAGACACCUACUGGACAUUAUACAGGGGCUCUAAGACUGGGGCGAAGUGGUGAACGCCUGUUAUUUGGCGCUCAGGGAGGCUGCAGCAGGAGGGCUCCAAGCUCAGGCCCAGCCUGGGCAAUCUGCCCCCUUGGCAAGAGCCUAUGUCAAAAUAAAAAACUGUUUAAAAGGCUUGGGAUGUAACUCCGGGAAAGCCCUGGGUUCGGUCCCCAGAAUUGAAAAAAAAGCCACAAGACUGGGUGAGAGCAGCUGGGGACAGAAAGGAAAGAGCCCGAGCCAGCAGGACACGACCAGACGCCCCUGAGCACCAGGACAUCCACAGGACGGCAGAACCUGGGCCGCCGGGCUUCAGGAAGGAGAUCUGAAUCUACAGGAGCUGCUCAGCAGGAGUGACCGGACCAGGACAGAAAGGAAGGAGCCAGGGAGACAGCGGGGCCCCUCCAGCCUCACCCACCCCGGCAGCAGAAAACCCCCGGGCCCCGCCUCACGCUCGCCUCCCUUCCUCUUCGCUGCAGUCCCUGUUUUGCUUUCUUCCUUGCAAAGAUGGUCGCAACGGUGCGGAGAGGGGAAAGGGGCUUUUAGGGGGUGGCUGUGGACUUGUCUCGAGAUCCCAGGGCACCGGCAAAAGGGAAACAAAAGGGAAAAUGAGGCACAGUGCCACACACCACGUUCUUCAUGCUGCUGCCGCCUUCCUGUUAUCUUUUUGACAAAUCUGCUUUCGAAAAUAGUGAAAGACUUCUUCAAAACUGUAACUUAGUUCCCUGAAUAAUAAAGUAAAAACAAGAUGAAACAGUUCUUGUUUUGUUUCGCUUGAGUGAAGUAGUUUUUACCAGCAGGUUGAAAAUUUAACAGAAUAGCCUAAAAAUUCUUUCUUAUAUCAACUGAGUCCUUUAAAACAACAACUUUGGCCUGGAGUCCACGAUCUUUAAUGAUAAGAAUAAACAAAACUAAGAAGUAUCCAGCAUUUGACACCAAAACAUUUCAGGAGAUUCAAAUGGUACUCGCCAUAUCCAUUGCAAAUGGGAAAUACAUAUUUUACGAAGCUAGGAAUUCACAUACAUAACACACACAGAAAAAGCCUGGAGCUCUGAUCGCCCGAGUAACGGCCUUCACACUGUAGUGGCAAGAUUAGGAAGUGAAUCUUUGCAAGCUUCUACACUUAAAUUUUCUAGAAUGAUUAUGUCCCAUCAUUUGUAUUAUAAAACUGACUUCUUUAGGGCUGGGGAUUUAGCUCAGUGGUUUCGCUGCCUGCCUAGCAAGCUCAAGGACUGGAGUUCGAUCCCUGGUACCAAAAAAAACUGACUUCUUUAAAGGAUCAAAGAAGAAAAUGAGAAGCUAUAUCUGGUGCCAUAUUUAUUCAUACGCAUUACUCCCUCCCAGGUCUCCGCUGGGAGGAAUGUCAAUAAAGACCCUUCAAUGCUACUUUUCUUAGGGUCAGUGGCUUCCUGAACUUUCGCCAGGGACCAAUAAAAACAAGCAAUCAAGAAACAGAUAUCAGCCCAACAUGGUGACACACGUCCAUAAUCCCAGGGCUCAGGAGGCUGAGGCAGGAAGAUCAUCAGGGGCUACAUAAUGAGACCCUGUCUCUAAAUGCAAUGACAACAACAACAACAGAAUGAAAGGGAGAACAGGAGCAAAGCUCUGACCCACGCCACACGGUGAACCUGGGAAUCUGACACCGUGAGACAGAAGCCAAACAGACUCGGAGCCCAGAGCCCGUGCGUGUGAAACACCAGAAGGACAGAGCCGGAGACAAGACACCGAUUAAGGGGAGGGAAGGACAGGGUGGUUAGUAAAGGUACAGGCUCGGGGAAGGCGACAAAAACAUCCCAGAAUUAAUGCUGAUGGCUUGAACAGACCCCAAUCCACUCCCGUCCGCUUCCCACAGGUGAAUUUUACAGUGUAUGAACCACGUCCCAUGUUUUCAAACUAUACCCACAAUAUGUGAGAGAUACAGAAACCUCUGGAGAUAAAAGUUACUCCUGAAAAUGUAGGGGAACAAUUGAGAUCUAAUGACAUGCUAAGACUGCAGGUAAAAUGGCAAUUAAACGUGAAGAAGGCGGCUGUGGCCUGAGGUGGACGGAGGCACAAAGGAACAGUGUUUAGAGUCUGCAGUAGCCUUCCUUCCAAAAUGCCACCUUGCCUUGAUACUUUGUAUCUUUUUAAAUGCUAUGUUCUCAAGGAAGCAGUGGUGACAUCCACAGCUUGCUUUCCACACAGAAGCCAGCAGAAUGGGGCUCCCGGGUUAAAUCCUGGGCGCUACGUGGGAAUCGGACUCUCCCAACCCAGCCACAAAAGUGGAUCUGUGAACACGGGAGGGAAAUUAUUUUCUCCAGGAGUGAGGCAGUAAUCAGCUCACAGCAACAGGGGCCACAGCCACCCGGGGACCGUGAGCAGCCAGGGUGUCGGGAAACGCUGCAGCGGCUGCCCGGGCUGCUUUUCUCCCGUGUGGAGACGCGAGUAUCAAUUCACAGUGACCACACAGACACUACAGUGAUAACUUCCCUCCAAAUUUAAACCUGGAGUGCCACUUCUCCUUGUAUGAGCCACAAGAAAAUGAGAUGACUCAAUAAACUCUAAAGCAUAUUUAAGAGCAGAGGAGAUUUAAAAAGAAAAACUAUCACAUAAGACAUGACAGAUGGUAAAACAUGGGGGAAAUAAAUGUAAACUAAAAUGAGGUACCACUUCCAGCUAUAACAUUGUCUUCAAUUAAGAGAUUCAGUACAGGCGCAGUUAUAGGAAAGCAAUUCACUCGGAGAUAUGCUGGCAGUGCAAUAAACUGUCAGAGACCCAGUUGGGAAAUGAAAUGAACUGUGUGUCGAGAGCCAGGAAUCAGAGCUGGGGUUUGGCUCAGUGGCAGAGCACUGGCCUAGCAUGAGCUGAAAGCCCAGAUUCGAUCC
Molecule: non-coding RNA, 5673 nt
Organism: Heterocephalus glaber (naked mole-rat)
Lineage: Eukaryota; Metazoa; Chordata; Mammalia; Rodentia; Bathyergidae
Source: RefSeq, a predicted model, not a curated record